RNAcentral lists this ribosomal RNA (253 nucleotides) under uncultured bacterium. RNAcentral describes it as "partial 16S ribosomal RNA". It matches the Rfam family "Bacterial small subunit ribosomal RNA", at positions 524 to 776 of the family's 1533-position model. The record is from RNAcentral.
UACGAAGGGGGCUAGCGCUGUUCGGAAUCACUGGGCGUAAAGGGCGCGUAGGCGGCUUUAUAAGUCGGGGGUGAAAGCCUGUGGCUCAACCACAGAAUUGCCUUCGAUACUGUAGAGCUUGAGACCGGAAGAGGUAAGUGGAACUGCGAGUGUAGAGGUGAAAUUCGUAGAUAUUCGCAAGAACACCAGUGGCGAAGGCGGCUUACUGGUCCGGUUCUGACGCUGAGGCGCGAAAGCGUGGGGAGCAAACAGG